GAUGAACGCUGGCGGCGUGCCUAAUACAUGCAAGUCGAGCGAACAGACGAGGAGCUUGCUCCUCUGACGUUAGCGGCGGACGGGUGAGUAACACGUGGAUAACCUACCUAUAAGACUGGGAUAACUUCGGGAAACCGGAGCUAAUACCGGAUAAUAUAUUGAACCGCAUGGUUCAAUAGUGAAAGACGGUUUUGCUGUCACUUAUAGAUGGAUCCGCGCCGCAUUAGCUAGUUGGUAAGGUAACGGCUUACCAAGGCAACGAUGCGUAGCCGACCUGAGAGGGUGAUCGGCCACACUGGAACUGAGACACGGUCCAGACUCCUACGGGAGGCAGCAGUAGGGAAUCUUCCGCAAAGGGCGAAAGCCUGACGGAGCAACGCCGCGUGAGUGAUGAUGGUCUUCGGAUCGUAAAACUCUGUUAUUAGGGAAGAACAAAUGUGUAAGUAACUAUGCACGUCUUGACGGUACCUAAUCAGAAAGCCACGGCUAACUACGUG
This 497-nucleotide ribosomal RNA is filed under the name uncultured bacterium. Its description in RNAcentral is "partial 16S ribosomal RNA". It matches the Rfam family "Bacterial small subunit ribosomal RNA", at positions 28 to 507 of the family's 1533-position model. The record is from RNAcentral.